Molecule: long non-coding RNA, 666 nt
Organism: Hemicordylus capensis (graceful crag lizard)
Lineage: Eukaryota; Metazoa; Chordata; Lepidosauria; Squamata; Cordylidae
Exons: 4
Source: RefSeq, a predicted model, not a curated record
ACUGUCUGUUACCUGAGAAAGAGUUAGUAGUAGUUAGGGCUUGAAGGAGCCAGUGACAGGGACCGUUAAGGAUAUGAACUCUAGCGAAGGUCUCUGGCUCGGUGCGUUGGAUAUUGGGAGCAGGCUGUUGAGUUGACGAACAACCCAGAGAUGCCAGUCAGACCUUCAAUGGCCUAUUUUGAGGGGAAAUCCUAUUGCUUAAGUAAAGAAUGGCAAUGACACCAAAAUUUAAGUCCUGCGGUCAAAGCCCAUACUUCCAGUGUCUGUGCUUCAGAGUGGUGCUGCUGACUGGGAUAUAACAAGCUGGCUUGCAGAUAAGGGGUGGUGCUUGGAACACAAAUGUUUUGAAUAUUAUGCCAGCCUUGUGGAUCAUUGACGCAGGUAACCAAUGAAGAUGGAAAUGGACGAGAGUUAUAUGCUGCAUCUAACCAGCCCCAAACAACUAUCUUGCUGUGGCAUUUUGGACCAAUGGAAAUUUCUAAAUGCUUUUCAAUGGCAGUUGUACAUAAAGAGCACAUUACAAUAGUCAGCUGUGGAGGUCAUUAAGCAAGAACAACUGUGGCUUGGUCUGGGACAUCCUAACACACAAAGGGCUAUUAAAUUAGCAAAAUACAGAACCUACUUGGUUAGUUGCUUAUUUUCUCGAUUAAAACUGCUUGUAUUUUA